This 305-nucleotide ribosomal RNA is filed under the name uncultured bacterium. RNAcentral describes it as "bacterial SSU rRNA". It matches the Rfam family "Bacterial small subunit ribosomal RNA", at positions 335 to 657 of the family's 1533-position model. The record is from RNAcentral.
GUCCUACGGGGCGCAGCAGUGGGGAAUAUUGCACAAUGGGGGAAACCCUGAUGCAGCGACGCCGCGUGGGCGAGGAAGUACCUCGGUAUGUAAAGCCCUAUCAGCAGGGAAGAAACAGGACAGUACCUGACUAAGAAGCCCCGGCUAACUACGUGCCAGCAGCCGCGGUAAUACGUAGGGGGCAAGCGUUAUCCGGAUUUACUGGGUGUAAAGGGAGCGUAGACGGCGCGGCAAGUCUGAAGUGAAAGGCAGGGGCUUAACCCCUGAACUGCUUUGGAAACUGCCAUGCUAGAGUGCUGGAGAGG